This is a long non-coding RNA of Acanthopagrus latus (yellowfin seabream), 977 nucleotides long. RefSeq lists it as uncharacterized. The record is from RefSeq and is a predicted model, not a curated record. NCBI's taxonomy places the organism in Eukaryota, Metazoa, Chordata, Actinopteri, Spariformes, Sparidae. The transcript has 3 exons.
GUCAUUCCUCUGAGAUUUCCACUGGUCUCUGCAGCACAGAGCUGACUCCUGAAUUACCCAGUCCGGCCCAUUAUUGCCUUAAUUGGGCUAAUUUAAUUUCUUCCCUGGCAGUUCUUGAUCUCUGACAGAAAGUGGCUGCUGUGAGAGGCCAUGUUGGCUCCACAGAGACCCAGAAGAGCCAGGCAGCCUGUGCAGACAGGAACUCCGGGCCCGGAGACCCUGCAGAGCCAGCCGCAAACACACUGCAAUUAACCACCAUUAACCACAAACACACCACCAUUGACUGGCAUCAACCAGGAACCAGGAGACUGCCGCAUGGCUCGGUCCAUCAGGGACUAACCACAAUUAAAUACUAUUAACUGCAGAUCAUGUCCCCAGGCAGCAAGCGUCCAUCCCGAGCAAUGACGCCCUCUCUGUAGAUAUCCUGGAUGAGGAUGCGAACCAGGGGGGUCUCAUUGCCGCCGACGAUGCUGAUGGCCAGCGGCUCUGAGGGAUCCGCCCGCGUGAUCUUAAUACUGCUUCUCUACCUCUGUGCCUGUCUUUGUGAGCCGGGGCAGCUUCUUCCUGUGCCUCAGGCUGGCUGCCUGGUCAUCUCAGCUGCAGAGGCAAGCGGGCCAGUUGCCAGAGGUUGAAGACGGAGCGGAGGAGGAGGAAGAAGCAGCAGCAGCAGCAGGAGGAGCAGCAGGAGCAGGUGCAGAGGAGAAGUCCCGUUGUGGCACAGGAGGAAGAGGAGAAAGUGCAAGAAGAAGAGGAAGGAGACCCAUGCAAAGGUGGCACAUUUGGAAUACAAUUUGAGAUGUGCAGCCCCUUAAUCUGCUCUGGGCACUGGCGAGUUGUAAGAGGAUUUGCGCUCGUAUGCGUGUGUGUGCAUGUCUGUCUACCCGUCGGUGUGUGUGUGUGCGUGCGCGUGUGUAUGUCAGAGAGAACGGCGCAGGCUGUGACUUAUACUGCAGCAGAAACCACUGAGGGGGUGGGGG